UCUGUUUUGUCAGAGACUAGAAUUGCAACCCCUGCUUUUUUCUUUUGCUUUCCAUUUGCUUGGUAAUUUUUCCUCCAUCCCUUUAUUUUCAGUCUGCGUGUGUCUUUGCAGCAAAGACAUGGAAUCGACCUAGCUGCUCAUCAGUGAUGAAACAGACAAAGAAAAUGUUGGAAUAUUACACAGCCAUAAAAAGAAUGAAAUAAUGUCAUUUGCAGCAGCCUGGAUGGAAUUGGAGGCCAUAAUACUAAGCAAAUUAAUGCAAGCACAGAAAACCAAAUACCUACUGUUCUCAUUUAUAGGUGGGCGCUAAACAUUGAGCAUAUAUUGACAUCGAUAUGGGAACAAUAGAUACUGUGGACUACUAAAGGGUGGAGUGAGAGAAGAAAGCAUGGAUUGAAAAACUGAUUAUUGUGUACUAUGUUCACUACCUGGGUCCAGUAUACCUAUGUAACAAUGCUACACAUGUAUCCUCUGUACCUAAAAUAAAAGC
This 490-nucleotide long non-coding RNA is filed under the name Homo sapiens (human). Its description in RNAcentral is "HSALNT0057865". Lineage: Eukaryota; Metazoa; Chordata; Mammalia; Primates; Hominidae. The record is from RNAcentral.